This 196-nucleotide microRNA precursor is filed under the name Oryza brachyantha (malo sina). RNAcentral describes it as "MIR812 microRNA precursor family". It matches the Rfam family "MIR812 microRNA precursor family". Lineage: Eukaryota; Viridiplantae; Streptophyta; Magnoliopsida; Poales; Poaceae. The record is from Rfam by way of RNAcentral.
AAUAAUCUCAUUUUUAGUUUUUCCAUGUCCAACGUUUGACCAUUCGUCUUAUUUGAAAAAAAUUUAAAGAUUAAUAUUUUUAUUGUUACUAGAUGAUAAAAUAUGAAUAAUAUUUUAUACGUAACUAAUUUUUUUACGUUUUUUAAAAAUUUUUCAAAUAAGACGAAUGGUCAAACGUUGGACACGGAAAAACGAG